Molecule: transfer RNA, 75 nt
Filed under: Gallicola sp.
Lineage: Bacteria; Bacillati; Bacillota; Tissierellia; Tissierellales; Peptoniphilaceae
Also listed under: 2 other names
Description: tRNA-Trp
Rfam family: tRNA
About the family: Transfer RNA (tRNA) molecules are approximately 80 nucleotides in length. Their secondary structure includes four short double-helical elements and three loops (D, anti-codon, and T loops).
Source: RNAcentral
AGGGGCAUAGUUCAGUGGUAGAACGUCGGUCUCCAAAACCGGAUGUCAGGGGUUCAAAUCCUCUUGUCCCUGCCA